CUAAGCAAUUAGAAGAGCGCGGAAUUGGACCUCCCUCAAAUAGAUGGAUCUGGGAUUGAUUGUGGAACCGAGCAUAGAGAACCGGGGGCGGGCAGGAAGAUAGGCUAGGCGGAGUAGUCGCUCUGGAGCAGGUUCUUCGACUGGAUCAAUGCAUGUAUGAACCCUAAAAAAAUCCCGAAGGUCUAGUCUAGAAAAAACCCGGAUUUUGUUGGGUUAGCUUUUUGGUAGGAAAGGCGGCCGAGCAUAAAGAACCGGGGGCGGACAGGAAGAUAGGCUAGGCGGAGUAGUCGCUCUGGAGCAGGUUCUUCGACUGGAUCAAUGCUUGUAUGAACCCUAAAAAAAUCCCGAAGGUCUAGUCUAGAAAAAACCCGGAUUUUGUUGGGUUAGCUUUUUGGUAGGAAAGGCGGUCACAGGAAGAAAUGCCCUACCAAUGAAUAGAUUAGUCUACUAACGUCAACAAUCUCUUU
Molecule: long non-coding RNA, 467 nt
Filed under: Nicotiana benthamiana
Lineage: Eukaryota; Viridiplantae; Streptophyta; Magnoliopsida; Solanales; Solanaceae
Description: long non-coding RNA (NBEN_LNC019482)
Source: RNAcentral